This 253-nucleotide ribosomal RNA is filed under the name uncultured bacterium. Its description in RNAcentral is "partial 16S ribosomal RNA". It matches the Rfam family "Bacterial small subunit ribosomal RNA", at positions 524 to 776 of the family's 1533-position model. The record is from RNAcentral.
UACGUAGGGUGCAAGCGUUAAUCGGAAUUACUGGGCAUAAAGCGUGCGCAGGCGGUUUUGUAAGUCUGUCGUGAAAUCCCCGGGCUCAACCUGGGAAUUGCGAUGGAGACUGCAAGGCUAGAAUCUGGCAGAGGGGGGUAGAAUUCCACGUGUAGCAGUGAAAUGCGUAGAGAUGUGGAGGAACACCGAUGGCGAAGGCAGCCCCCUGGGUCAAGAUUGACGCUCAUGCACGAAAGCGUGGGGAGCAAACAGG